Molecule: ribosomal RNA, 580 nt
Filed under: Devosia nanyangense
Lineage: Bacteria; Pseudomonadati; Pseudomonadota; Alphaproteobacteria; Hyphomicrobiales; Devosiaceae
Description: partial 23S ribosomal RNA
Rfam family: Bacterial large subunit ribosomal RNA
Source: RNAcentral
UCGUUGAGUGCAAUGGCAUAAGCCUGCCUGACUGCGAGACUGACAAGUCGAGCAGAGACGAAAGUCGGUCAUAGUGAUCCGGUGGUCCCGCGUGGAAGGGCCAUCGCUCAACGAAUAAAAGGUACGCUGGGGAUAACAGGCUGAUACUGCCCAAGAGUCCAUAUCGACGGCAGUGUUUGGCACCUCGAUGUCGGCUCAUCACAUCCUGGGGCUGGAGCAGGUCCCAAGGGUAUGGCUGUUCGCCAUUUAAAGUGGUACGUGAGCUGGGUUUAAAACGUCGUGAGACAGUUUGGUCCCUAUCUGCCGUGGGUGUAGGAAUGUUGAGAAGAGCUGACCCUAGUACGAGAGGACCGGGUUGGACGAAUCUCUGGUGGACCUGUUGUGGCGCCAGCCGCAUUGCAGGGUAGCUAUAUUCGGACGGGAUAACUGCUGAAAGCAUCUAAGCAGGAAGCCUCCUUCAAAACGAGCAUUCCCUUGAGAGCCGUGGAAGACCACCACGUUGAUAGGCCGGAUGUGGAAGCGCAGCGAUGUGUGAAGCUGACCGGUACUAAUAGCUCGAUUGGCUUGAUCGUUCUCAUUU